CUACGGGAUGCAGCAGUGAGGAAUAUUGGUCAAUGGGCGCAAGCCUGAACCAGCCACUCCGCGUGUAGGAUGACUGCCCUAUGGGUUGUAAACUACUUUUAUACAGGAAGAAACCUCCUUACGUGUAGGGAGCUGACUGUACUGUAAGAAUAAGCAUCGGCUAACUCCGUGCCAGCAGCCGCGGUAAUACGGAGGAUGCAAGCGUUAUCCGGAUUUAUUAGGUCUAAAGGGUUCGUAGGCGGAUGAUUAAGUCAGUGGUGAAAUCCUACAGCUUAACUGUAGAACUGCCAUUGAUACUGGUUGUCUUGAGUAUAGUUGAGGUAGGCGGAAUGUGUAGUGUAGCGGUGAAAUGCUUAGAUAUUACACAGAACACCGAUUGCGAAGGCAGCUUACUAAGCUAUUACUGACGCUAAGGAACGAAAGCGUGGGGAGCGAACAGGAUUAGAUACCCCGGUAGUC
Molecule: ribosomal RNA, 459 nt
Filed under: uncultured bacterium
Lineage: Bacteria
Description: partial 16S ribosomal RNA
Rfam family: Bacterial small subunit ribosomal RNA
Source: RNAcentral